This 426-nucleotide ribosomal RNA is filed under the name Ixodes scapularis (black-legged tick). Its description in RNAcentral is "partial 12S ribosomal RNA". Lineage: Eukaryota; Metazoa; Arthropoda; Arachnida; Ixodida; Ixodidae. The record is from RNAcentral.
UAAAAAAUUUUGGCGGUAUUUUAAGCUUAUUAGAGGAAUUUGCUCUGUGAUGGACACAACGCCUUAAUCUUACUUAAUUUAGUAAUUUAAAUCAGUUUGUAUACCACUAUAUUAAUUAUAUUGAAUAGUUAUAUUUAAAAUUUUUUUUAAAAAAUAUAUUAAGUCAAGGUGCAUCUAAUAAUUAUGAAUGAAGUGAAUUACAUUAAUUUUAAUGUAAUUUUUUACAUGAAAAAAUUAAUUAGGAUUUAAUAGUAAAAUACUAAUAUUAUGAGUAUUUGAAUCAAGCUCUAAAAUAUGCACAUAUCGCCCGUCGCUCUCAGAAUUGAGAUAAGUCGUAACAAAGUAAAAAUACUGGAAAGUGUUUUUUAAAAUGAAAUCAUUCGAUGUUUCAUUUACAAUGAAAAUUUUGUUGUUUAACCAUUUUAA